This 244-nucleotide unclassified non-coding RNA is filed under the name Melitaea cinxia (Glanville fritillary). RNAcentral describes it as "misc RNA ENSMCXG00005000401.1". The record is from RNAcentral. Lineage: Eukaryota; Metazoa; Arthropoda; Insecta; Lepidoptera; Nymphalidae.
ACGAACGCAUUGAAAUAUACAAAAUUAUAAAAUUUCAACCAGAUCGGUCCAACCGUUUUGGAGUUAGGUGACAAACACACAUACGCAUUAAUUAUUAUAUAUUUAGAUGUAUCAUAACAAAUAAAUGUUUUGUUUUGUUCUAUAGGGAAGGUCAGGGGACAAACACCGAAGGUUGAAAAGCAAGAAAAGAAGAAGAAGAAGACUGGCCGCGCCAAGCGUAGGCAACAGUACAACAGAAGGUCUG